AAAUUAACGAUCGCUUUUUGCUUAUUCCUAAAAUAAAUUAUCCAUCCAAACUGCAAUGUAAACUUACUACAUGCAUUCAUGAAGGUACAAAACACAAACAUAGAAACUUCAAACCUCAAGCUACCGAUUUCUUCUGAUUCGGCUCAAACACAUAUUUUAUGAGCGACUCCUUAAUCGGCAGAAGCUCGGGGAAUUCAGUCUUCAGUU
This 207-nucleotide unclassified non-coding RNA is filed under the name Hevea brasiliensis (rubber tree). Lineage: Eukaryota; Viridiplantae; Streptophyta; Magnoliopsida; Malpighiales; Euphorbiaceae. The record is from RNAcentral.